This 1058-nucleotide long non-coding RNA is filed under the name Equus caballus (horse). RNAcentral's name for it is "lncRNA (ENSECAG00000045263.1)". The record is from RNAcentral. Lineage: Eukaryota; Metazoa; Chordata; Mammalia; Perissodactyla; Equidae.
AGUGAGAUUUAUAUAUUUCAUUCAGAAAAUAGUCAAAGUGUACUUGAUUUUGAAAUUCUUAAAGAAUUUAAGAAUUAAAUUAAAGCUGAAAGGGGCAUUUGCGCCCCCCCUCCUCACUUUAGAGAUGAGGAAGCAGUAGCCUGGAGAAAUUAAGUGUCUCGGUCACAUCACAAGGCCCCGUGGCAGGCUACUCGAUUUCCAGCUUUCUCCCAUUACUGUGCAUCUUCCUUGCAUCCAAAAUGUCUGACUCUCUACCUGGUCCUCAGCUGUUGUCACAGAUGCUUAAUCACUCACCCCUCUUUUGGAUUUCUUCCCUUUUAUUAUGGAAAAUUUUCAAACAUAAAGGUAAAGAAUAUAAUAGAAAUAACUCCCAUGUGCCCCUCACUCAGCUUCUACAAUUAUUCACAUAUGACCAAUCCCCUUUUAUCUGUACCUAUCCCCAGUUCCCGUUCCUGCACAGAUGAUUUCAAAGCAAAUGCAAACAUCAUGGAAUUUCAUCUGUAAAUACUCGGGUGUCACAGUGUGUGCGCCCUCUCGCACAUGUGUAAAACCCACACUACAGCUAUCACGGCUAACAAAAUUAACAAUUAGUUCCUGAAUAGCAAAUUUCCCCGAUUGUCUGUCUGUCUGUCUUUCUGUCUGUCUUUCUCUCUCUUUUGCAAUUGUUUUGUUAGAGUCAGGAUCCAGACAAAGCUGGAGAUCGGGUCUCAGGUCUCAGGUUAUCUGAUCAUUCGAAGUUCUGGCGCUAGAAGGUUUGCUGAGCAAGGGGAAAUACGUUGCAAGACAAGGCUCCUCAGAAUCGUCGUGGAUCGCGUUUGUGUACAUGCCUUGACCCUUCCUGAGCUUCUCUGACCCAUGGCAUUCGGGUCAGAUCUGGCAAACAGCCCAGUCCACACAACCCAGCCCAACAAUCGCUCUGCAGCCCAAGUUUCCUCGUGGUCCUGCCUUACAUGGGAACAGAAAGGUCAAGGCUUGAAGUAAAAUGACAGAUGGAAAGAAAAGCCUCUUGCAGCCUGUGGAGCUCCGUGAAAUCCUUCCUUAUGGGAUUUCCCUUGUCA